This 482-nucleotide ribosomal RNA is filed under the name uncultured Planctomycetota bacterium. Its description in RNAcentral is "bacterial SSU rRNA". It matches the Rfam family "Bacterial small subunit ribosomal RNA", at positions 46 to 525 of the family's 1533-position model. The record is from RNAcentral. Lineage: Bacteria; Pseudomonadati; Planctomycetota.
GGAUUAGGCAUGCAAGUCGAACGGUAGAGUGCUUUCGGGCACUUGAGAGUGGCGAACGGGUGAGUAACACGUAGGUGAUCUACCCUCAAAUCGGGGACAACCCAGGGAAACUUGGGCUAAUACCGGAUGAGUGCGGUAACGCAUAAAAGGUGGCGUAAGCUGCCGUUUGGGGAUGAGCCUGCGCCCUAUUAGUUAGUUGGUGAGGUAAUGGCUCACCAAGGCGAUGAUAGGUAGGCGGCCUUAACGGGUGGUCGCCCACACUGGGAUUGAGAUACGGCCCAGACUCCUACGGGAGGCAGCAGUCGAGAAUAGUCUACAAUGGACGAAAGUCUGAUAGUGCGACGCCGCGUGAACGAAGAAGCCCUUCGGGGUGUAAAGUUCUUUUAUAUGUGAGCAAUGCUUCUUAGGUGAAUAGUCUGAGGAGAGAGAUAUUAGCAUAUGAAUAAGCAAUGGCUAACUCCGUGCCAGCAGCCGCGGUAAUA